This 2906-nucleotide ribosomal RNA is filed under the name Escherichia coli. RNAcentral describes it as "23S ribosomal RNA". It matches the Rfam family "Bacterial large subunit ribosomal RNA". Lineage: Bacteria; Pseudomonadati; Pseudomonadota; Gammaproteobacteria; Enterobacterales; Enterobacteriaceae. The record is from RNAcentral.
GGUUAAGCGACUAAGCGUACACGGUGGAUGCCCUGGCAGUCAGAGGCGAUGAAGGACGUGCUAAUCUGCGAUAAGCGUCGGUAAGGUGAUAUGAACCGUUAUAACCGGCGAUUUCCGAAUGGGGAAACCCAGUGUGAUUCGUCACACUAUCAUUAACUGAAUCCAUAGGUUAAUGAGGCGAACCGGGGGAACUGAAACAUCUAAGUACCCCGAGGAAAAGAAAUCAACCGAGAUUCCCCCAGUAGCGGCGAGCGAACGGGGAGCAGCCCAGAGCCUGAAUCAGUGUGUGUGUUAGUGGAAGCGUCUGGAAAGGCGUGCGAUACAGGGUGACAGCCCCGUACACAAAAAUGCACAUAUUGUGAGCUCGAUGAGUAGGGCGGGACACGUGGUAUCCUGUCUGAAUAUGGGGGGACCAUCCUCCAAGGCUAAAUACUCCUGACUGACCGAUAGUGAACCAGUACCGUGAGGGAAAGGCGAAAAGAACCCCGGCGAGGGGAGUGAAAAAGAACCUGAAACCGUGUACGUACAAGCAGUGGGAGCACAGAGCAAUCUGUGUGACUGCGUACCUUUUGUAUAAUGGGUCAGCGACUUAUAUUCUGUAGCAAGGUUAACCGAAUAGGGGAGCCGAAGGGAAACCGAGUCUUAACUGGGCGUUAAGUUGCAGGGUAUAGACCCGAAACCCGGUGAUCUAGCCAUGGGCAGGUUGAAGGUUGGGUAACACUAACUGGAGGACCGAACCGACUAAUGUUGAAAAAUUAGCGGAUGACUUGUGGCUGGGGGUGAAAGGCCAAUCAAACCGGGAGAUAGCUGGUUCUCCCCGAAAGCUAUUUAGGUAGCGCCUCGUGAAUUCAUCUCCGGGGGUAGAGCACUGUUUCGGCAAGGGGGUCAUCCCGACUUACCAACCCGAUGCAAACUGCGAAUACCGGAGAAUGUUAUCACGGGAGACACACGGCGGGUGCUAACGUCCGUCGUGAAGAGGGAAACAACCCAGACCGCCAGCUAAGGUCCCAAAGUCAUGGUUAAGUGGGAAACGAUGUGGGAAGGCCCAGACAGCCAGGAUGUUGGCUUAGAAGCAGCCAUCAUUUAAAGAAAGCGUAAUAGCUCACUGGUCGAGUCGGCCUGCGCGGAAGAUGUAACGGGGCUAAACCAUGCACCGAAGCUGCGGCAGCGACGCUUAUGCGUUGUUGGGUAGGGGAGCGUUCUGUAAGCCUGCGAAGGUGUGCUGUGAGGCAUGCUGGAGGUAUCAGAAGUGCGAAUGCUGACAUAAGUAACGAUAAAGCGGGUGAAAAGCCCGCUCGCCGGAAGACCAAGGGUUCCUGUCCAACGUUAAUCGGGGCAGGGUGAGUCGACCCCUAAGGCGAGGCCGAAAGGCGUAGUCGAUGGGAAACAGGUUAAUAUUCCUGUACUUGGUGUUACUGCGAAGGGGGGACGGAGAAGGCUAUGUUGGCCGGGCGACGGUUGUCCCGGUUUAAGCGUGUAGGCUGGUUUUCCAGGCAAAUCCGGAAAAUCAAGGCUGAGGCGUGAUGACGAGGCACUACGGUGCUGAAGCAACAAAUGCCCUGCUUCCAGGAAAAGCCUCUAAGCAUCAGGUAACAUCAAAUCGUACCCCAAACCGACACAGGUGGUCAGGUAGAGAAUACCAAGGCGCUUGAGAGAACUCGGGUGAAGGAACUAGGCAAAAUGGUGCCGUAACUUCGGGAGAAGGCACGCUGAUAUGUAGGUGAAGUCCCUCGCGGAUGGAGCUGAAAUCAGUCGAAGAUACCAGCUGGCUGCAACUGUUUAUUAAAAACACAGCACUGUGCAAACACGAAAGUGGACGUAUACGGUGUGACGCCUGCCCGGUGCCGGAAGGUUAAUUGAUGGGGUUAGCGCAAGCGAAGCUCUUGAUCGAAGCCCCGGUAAACGGCGGCCGUAACUAUAACGGUCCUAAGGUAGCGAAAUUCCUUGUCGGGUAAGUUCCGACCUGCACGAAUGGCGUAAUGAUGGCCAGGCUGUCUCCACCCGAGACUCAGUGAAAUUGAACUCGCUGUGAAGAUGCAGUGUACCCGCGGCAAGACGGAAAGACCCCGUGAACCUUUACUAUAGCUUGACACUGAACAUUGAGCCUUGAUGUGUAGGAUAGGUGGGAGGCUUUGAAGUGUGGACGCCAGUCUGCAUGGAGCCGACCUUGAAAUACCACCCUUUAAUGUUUGAUGUUCUAACGUUGACCCGUAAUCCGGGUUGCGGACAGUGUCUGGUGGGUAGUUUGACUGGGGCGGUCUCCUCCUAAAGAGUAACGGAGGAGCACGAAGGUUGGCUAAUCCUGGUCGGACAUCAGGAGGUUAGUGCAAUGGCAUAAGCCAGCUUGACUGCGAGCGUGACGGCGCGAGCAGGUGCGAAAGCAGGUCAUAGUGAUCCGGUGGUUCUGAAUGGAAGGGCCAUCGCUCAACGGAUAAAAGGUACUCCGGGGAUAACAGGCUGAUACCGCCCAAGAGUUCAUAUCGACGGCGGUGUUUGGCACCUCGAUGUCGGCUCAUCACAUCCUGGGGCUGAAGUAGGUCCCAAGGGUAUGGCUGUUCGCCAUUUAAAGUGGUACGCGAGCUGGGUUUAGAACGUCGUGAGACAGUUCGGUCCCUAUCUGCCGUGGGCGCUGGAGAAUUGAGGGGGGCUGCUCCUAGUACGAGAGGACCGGAGUGGACGCAUCACUGGUGUUCGGGUUGUCAUGCCAAUGGCACUGCCCGGUAGCUAAAUGCGGAAGAGAUAAGUGCUGAAAGCAUCUAAGCACGAAACUUGCCCCGAGAUGAGUUCUCCCUGACUCCUUGAGAGUCCUGAAGGAACGUUGAAGACGACGACGUUGAUAGGCCGGGUGUGUAAGCGCAGCGAUGCGUUGAGCUAACCGGUACUAAUGAACCGUGAGGCUUAACCUU